CUCUGCAGCACUUUGGAACUUUGGCUUAAGAAUAACAGGAGACUUGAACUAAUUGUCCUGCCAUUAAAAUGCAUGGAGAUACUCAUCUAUGAGGAGAAGGGGGCCCUGCCAGCCAGGAUUUUCUCACGGAAACUGGGGAGACCCAAAGCAACUCUACAAUUGUGCUCCAUGGAGAAUAAAGCCCUCAGAGCACUGGACAACUUACCUGUCAGGUUCUUACACCUGCAAAAGAAGAAACGUGAGAACGAUUGAGUUGCUGUGAAGU
This is a long non-coding RNA of Balaenoptera ricei (Rice's whale), 265 nucleotides long. RefSeq lists it as uncharacterized. NCBI's taxonomy places the organism in Eukaryota, Metazoa, Chordata, Mammalia, Artiodactyla, Balaenopteridae. The transcript is spliced from 3 exons. The record is from RefSeq and is a predicted model, not a curated record.